UUCCGUAGGUGAACCUGCGGAGGGAUCAUUACACAAAUAUGAAGGCGGGCUGGAACCUCUCGGGGUUACAGCCUUGCUGAAUUAUUCACCCUUGUCUUUUGCGUACUUCUUGUUUCCUUGGUGGGUUCGCCCACCACUAGGACAAACAUAAACCUUUUGUAAUUGCAAUCAGCGUCAGUAACAAAUUAAUAAUUACAACUUUCAACAACGGAUCUCUUGGUUCUGGCAUCGAUGAAGAACGCAGCGAAAUGCGAUAAGUAGUGUGAAUUGCAGAAUUCAGUGAAUCAUCGAAUCUUUGAACGCACAUUGCGCCCUUUGGUAUUCCAAAGGGCAUGCCUGUUCGAGCGUCAUUUGUACCCUCAAGCUUUGCUUGGUGUUGGGCGUCUUGUCUCUAGCUUUGCUGGAGACUCGCCUUAAAGUAAUUGGCAGCCGGCCUACUGGUUUCGGAGCGCAGCACAAGUCGCACUCUCUAUCAGCAAAGGUCUAGCAUCCAUUAAGCCUUUUUUUCAACUUUUGACCUCGGAUCAGGUAGGGAUACCCGCUGAACUUAAGCAUAUCAAUAAGCGGAGGA
This 571-nucleotide ribosomal RNA is filed under the name uncultured organism. RNAcentral's name for it is "eukaryotic LSU rRNA". The stretch from base 197 to 350 matches the Rfam family "5.8S ribosomal RNA". The record is from RNAcentral.